UAAGUACUCCCUCCGUUCCAUAAUUCUUGUGUAAAUAUUACAUGUAUUUAGACACUUGUUGGGAAUAGAUACAUCCAUUUUUAGGCAAAUUUGAGACAAGAAUUAUGGAACGGAGGGAGUAACAA
Molecule: non-coding RNA, 125 nt
Organism: Brachypodium distachyon (stiff brome)
Lineage: Eukaryota; Viridiplantae; Streptophyta; Magnoliopsida; Poales; Poaceae
Source: Rfam